UUUUUUCACAUAUUAAGCAAAACUGAAGCAUAGAAUAGGAGCAAACUAUAUAAAACAAGCAAAAUUAAGCUCUGUUACAACUUUAGGUUUAUGAAACCAAAAUCUAGACGAUAAUAUUUAAAAAAAAAAUACUUGCAAUACAACCAAAUAUUAUAUCAGACACAUUGCUACGAACAAAAGCACAAAAAGCUGGUUAACGAAGAAAUCCCAGAAUCGCACACAGCUCAGACAACAACGAGAAUGAGAGAAACUCCCAUCCAGGAUCCGCAUUCAAACAUCACAUUAUGCCUGUAGCAACAUUUAACAAAAACAAAAAAACACGAUUAUAUUAAAAAAUAAUAAUACUAAUAAUAAUAAUAAGAGAAUAUAUUUUUAAAACGAUGCAAGAUCACAUGCCUUGUUAGCAAUGUUGUUAGAGAGCCAAUCGAGACCCUCGUAAAGUCCUUCACCGGAAGUUGCACAGGUGCUCUGGAUGUACCUGUGGUAAAGCAACAUAAGGUUAAUACUAUAAUGAUAUUGGAUGACCACUAGUCUGAUGGUCAAUCAGACUGGUGGAUAGUCAUCCCAUUAUCAGAUGACUAGUGCAAAUUUAUUGAUGCACCGAUCAUCUGAUAUAUGGUUGAUGCACCGGUCAUCUGAUCAUAUCAGAUGACUAGUGCACUACGUAUGAUAUAUCACACCAGUCUGAUUGUCAGACUGUUGGAUAGUCAUCCAACUAUCAGAUGAUUAGUGCAACUUUAUGCUUGCACUAGUCAUCUGAUAUAUGGAUGGUGCACCGGUCAUCUAAUAUGAUAUGACAGAUGACUGAUGACCGGUGCACUGUGUAUAAUAUAUCAUGGAGACGAGAUUUUACCAGUGGCGCUGUCGGAGGGAAUGGAGGCCGAGCUUAUCGGUGAU
This 897-nucleotide long non-coding RNA is filed under the name Lactuca sativa (garden lettuce). RNAcentral describes it as "long non-coding RNA (LSAT_LNC008903)". Lineage: Eukaryota; Viridiplantae; Streptophyta; Magnoliopsida; Asterales; Asteraceae. The record is from RNAcentral.